AAGAAUAAAGUGAAUACGUCCAUACCACUACCUCGAAUGAAGUAGAGAAGUCGAUAGACCUACAAUUCAGGACAGGGAAUAGGAAUGACAGCAUUAAUUAAAAUUAAAUUUUGCUAUUGAAUGAGAUUAUAAAUUAACUUGAAUAAUGUAGAGUGAUGUCAAAAUUGACAAGUAACUACGUUUUAUGCAACUUGAGGCGUAAGGCCAAUCCCAGUGGCCUGCGAACCCCCAACCGCUUCCGAAUCCUUUCCAGGCAUCACCAUCCAAUGUGAAUCCUCCACUUCAGAACAAUCUCUUGGUGCCGGGGCUUGCCUUUUAUCCACAGCCACUCUCGGAGACGGAGGUGACUCCAUGGAUUCAGAAGCAUGUAGAGCCAACCUUCAUGGACCAGGUCCACGACCUGAAUGCUGCACCUCCGUCAUCGAUGGAGCUCCCGCUCCCCAUUGCACUGACCAACCCCGACUACAUCAUCCUGGACAAUCUGGAGGCGGGCAUGCACGAGAGGGCGUCAUCAGCGUUUCUGAAUCAGGUAUGCGUAUUCCUGUUAAAAGAGCAUGUUGCAAAAAAAGUAUACAUAAAUUGUCCGCAAAAUAUGUUGAAAUGCUCGAUCCAUGUAAGGCCCACCCUCAACCCGGACAUGGGGAAGUAUGCCUUGAUAAUGAGCCCGACUCUCAGGGGCUCGGAGCUUGCUUGUAACUCUGACAUUCGCUAUAACUUUACUCGGCCAAUGAACUUUAUUAUUUGGAACUGUAGGGGCACCAAGUCCCAAGAGUUUAGGUUGGCCUUUAAGGAAAUCCUAGAUAACUAUAAGCCUGUUUUAGUUGUCCUUUUGGAAAUCCAUAGAGAAAACCAUCAAUCCCUGCCUACCGAAUUCAGCUUCUCAAACGUAGCGGCCGUCCCAGCUGAGGGUCAGGCUGGGGGUAUGGCAAUUCUCUGGCAUGAUGAUGUUUUACAUGUAACUGACGUUGCCCUUACCCGCCAGGAAAUUUACUGCAUGGUUAAGGUGGUGACUUCAACGACAUUACAAGGACAAAUGAGAAGUUUGGGGGUAGGGGGUUCUCUGCUUCUAGAGCAAAUAACUUCUUAAACUGUCUCAAUUACUGCAAUAUGCUUGAUCUAGGUUUUAGUGGCAGUAAGUUUACCUGGACAAAUCUCAGACGCCAUGGCUAUUUGAUCUUAGAGCGUCUAGAUAGAAUUAAUAGCAAUGCAGCUUCGUUAGAACUCUUUUCCGAAGCUUCUGUCAAGCAUCUCCCUCGUCUCCACUCUGAUCACUGUCCUCUAAGUCUUGCUUUAACCCCGACCUAUCCUAUAAACAAUAGACCCGUCAGGCUAGAGUCUAUAUAGACCUUUCACCCUCAGUUCUCUGAAGUUGUCUCAUACUCCUGGCUCACCAUGAAUGACUUGUUUCUUCCCUCUAUUGCCUUAUUCAAAAAUGAGAUCUCUUUUUGGAAUAGAGAGGUUUUUGGCAACAUUUUUGUUAAGAAAAGGAAGCUGCUAGCCAGAUUAGUGGGAAUCCAAGCUUCUCCAAACUACCCAACUAGCUCCUUCUUGCAAACUCUUGAAGUUGACUUGUCUCAGGAAUUAAAUCGCUUAUUGCAAUUGGAACAUGACUUGUGGCAAUUAAAAUCAAGGGUUAACUGGCUCAAUAAUGGGGAUGCAAACACAAAGUUCUUCCAUAUCUCUGUCCUUAACAGAAGACGUAAGAAUCGUAUUCUAGCUCUACGAGACCAAGGUGGAAACUGGAUUGAAGGACGAGAUAAUUUGGAGUUUCAUAUCAUUAAUUUCUUCAAAAAUCUUUUCACUAUGGAUCUCAUUGCAUGCCCGCAUCAAGGUUUGUAUGCACCUUCUCGAUUCGUACCACCAGCUGUGCAUGUCCUGCUAGAACAGCCCCUCACUAGAGGUGAGAUCUCCUCAGCACUCAACUCGUUUAAACCCUUUUAAGGCCCCGGGUCCGGAUGGCUUGCACCCUUUUUUCUUCCAGAGAUACUGGGAAAUUGUAGGAAAAUCUCUUGAGGAUUUUUGUGCUCAAGUUUUCACUGAGUGGGCUAUCCCGCCUAUUGUGAACCAGACUUACAUCUACCUAAUCCCUAAGACCAGUUUUGCAGCCACCAUAUCUCAAUACGGACCCAUUAGUCUCUGCAACACUGUGUAUAAAGUUAUUACAAAUAUCAUCGUAAAUCGUAUAAAACCUUAUCUCCAGGAAAUUAUUGGCCCUAAGUCUAGUUUCUUAGCAGGAAGAAGGGCUUCAGAUAGUGCUCUGCUAGUUCAAGAGGUGCUACAUUUUCUUAAAAAGCGUAAAGGAAACAAGCACUUGAUGAUGCUUAAAAUUGAUCUGGAAAAAGCCUUUGACCGUCCUGAAUGGUCCUUCAUCCACGACACCCUGAUAUAUUUUAACUUUCCCUCUAAAAUCAUCCGGCUAAUCAUGUCUUGUAUCUGUACAUCAACCAUCUCAGUCCUUAUCAAUGGGGGAUCCACUCCAUUUUUUGCUCCCAAUAGAGGUAUCCGUCAGGGUAACCCCUUGUCACCAUACAUAUUUAUCCUUUGCAUGGAAAGGCUAUCUAGAAGAAUCGACAUAGCUGUUGAUCACCUUCUCUGGACGCCAAUUGUCACCUAUCCAAGGGGUAUUCUUAUUUCCCACCUUUUUUUCGCAGACGAUAUCAUCCUCUGUGGAGAAAUAAAUGAUUCUACCUGCAUGGCCAUCUCAACAGCAAUGUCCCAAUUUGGAGUUAUCUCAGGGCAAAAAAUAAAUUACUCCAAGUCAAAAAUCUUUUUCUCAGAUAAUACACCAACUGCAAAAAAGAUUCUAGCUUGUACUAACCUACACUUAAGUAAGGGCUCCUCUUUUGGGAAAUAUCUCGGGUUUCCAAUGUCCACGAGGUUGGCCAAAUCAGACUACCAAGUACUCGUGGACACCUUCAAAGCCCCGCCUAUCAGGUUGGAAACGAAAAUUCCUCACCUUGGCUGGGAAGGCCACACUUAUCCAGUCUACCCUUAAUAGCCUCCCAAAUCAUAUCAUGCAGCUUAUUCAACUUCCAGCCUAUGUGGUUAAAGAGCUCCAACGUCAUGAGCGAAAUUUUCUUUGGGGCUCUACGCAAACCCGUAGGAGGAUUCAUCUUCUCAAAUGGUCGAUGGUUACAAAACCGAAGGAUGAAGGCGGGUUAGGCAUUCAAGACUUAGUCCCAAAAAAUAAAGCUUUAUUGGCAUGCUCAUCUUGGCGUUGUUUUCACUAGAACAACACCAUCUGGGCAAAUUUACUUAAAGGAAAAUACCUUUGGCGACCACACAAUAAUCUUAGUACAGCUGCUACAAUCUCUAGAACUUGGAGAGCCCUCCAGCAGGGUUGGAAGACCUGCCAGUUGGGCCUUCGUUGGCAGCCUGCUACAGGUCGCUUCAUCAACUUCUUUACUGACUCUUGGAUCAAACCAAACUCCACCAUUCGAUCCCUUUUACAAGGGCCCCUCCUUCCUGAAGAAAGCGAAGCCAAUGUGGUGAAGUUUAGAACCUCCGAAAUAGGGGAUUUCUCGGCACUCUCUAUUGAUCUUCCACCUGGGGUUGUCUCCCAAAUUCAACAAGUUUAUUUUCCCAGGUUCGCAAGUACUUUUGAUCGCAUCACUUGGGGAUUAACAAAUUCGGGCCUCUUUAGUGUUAAAACAUGCAUGUCUGCUCUAGCUUCCUUUAAUAACCCUUCAUCCACUGUCACGAGCCAAACAAAUCACCAUCCAAACUUCAACUGGAUCUGGCGGCUUCCGAUCCCUCCUAAAAUCAAACACUUCCUCUGGCUGCUUAAUCAUGACAGAACGCCAACAGCUGCAUAUCUCCACCAUAUAAGGGUUAUUGACUCACCAACAUGUCGCCUCUGCGACUGCUCCACUGCAGAAACAAAUGCGCACAUUUUCCUGUUUUGUCCUAAAGUGACUUCACUCUGGGACUAUAUCCAAAUUAAAAAUGAGGCACACUCUUUAACAGAUCCCUCCCUAGCACCAACUCAAUGGUUGCAAAGGUUCAUACGACUUAGAGUUCCCGCUAUCUCCAAUAGAUUGGGUCUUAUUCCUUCAUCGGUUUUCCUUUGCUUUUGUCUUUGGUCAAUUUGGACUGCGCGCACAGAAUUGCUUCUACACUGUCUUUAGACCGUAUCUGUCACAGUGUAACUGAGUUUUGGUUUCUCACUGGGCCCACAAAAGUUGAGAGAUGUACUAUUCCUAUGUAUGUUAAAUGGAAGCCCCCUGACCAGACUAAUAUCAUGCUAAACACUGACUGUGCAGCCCAUUCUGAGCUUCCUGAUCAUUAAUCUUUAGGAGGUGUCUUUAGAAAUUACUCAAGCAACUGGCUGCAGUCAUACUAGGUCUUCAGCUAGCUUAUCAGCAUAUCCACUCCCCGUUGGAAAUCGGUACAGACUCACAGCAGCUAGCUAACUUAUUAAUUAAUGCAACAUGCUCUAACUCAAAUGUUAUCUCUGAUUGCAGGUUCCUUCUCC
This 4474-nucleotide long non-coding RNA is filed under the name Capsicum annuum. RNAcentral's name for it is "long non-coding RNA (CANN_LNC008488)". The record is from RNAcentral. Lineage: Eukaryota; Viridiplantae; Streptophyta; Magnoliopsida; Solanales; Solanaceae.